UGGUUUUAGUCCAAACUCUUCGAAGCGAUAAGAUCACUGCAGAUGAUUUUGACCUCACUUCGUUUUAAACAAAUCGCUGAAGCCAAAACAACGACCGAGAUACUCAAUUUGUGGCCAGAAUAUACAAAGCCGUCAGCUUUCCAAUUUAUUAAUAUAGAUUUUAUACUGAAAUUAGGCAAAUAGAUUUUAUACUGAAAUUAGGCAAAGUGCCUAAGGAUAGAUGGACUCAACUCGAAGAUAGCAUUUUAAACAUCUUAAAAAGCAAAUCUGGUUGCUCUAUCCUCCUCAAGGACCUGCAAAAAGUUGGAUCAAACAACGAAGAAUAAUGAUAUGUUUCUGUCUAUUUUCGGAGUCAAAAACAUUCACCAUCUUUUGGCACGCGCACAAACUCUUCCCUCCUCAACAUACUAUUACCACCUCUCCAAAUGGA
Lucilia sericata (common green bottle fly) is the source of this 430-nucleotide long non-coding RNA. RefSeq lists it as uncharacterized. Lineage: Eukaryota; Metazoa; Arthropoda; Insecta; Diptera; Calliphoridae. The transcript has 3 exons. The record is from RefSeq and is a predicted model, not a curated record.